UACGUAGGGUCCAAGCGUUAAUCGGAAUUACUGGGCGUAAAGCGUGCGUAGGCGGUUUCGCAAGUCCGAUGUGAAAUCCCCGGGCUUAACCUGGGAACUGCGUUGGAAACUACGAAGCUAGAGUGCGGCAGAGGGGGGUGGAAUUCCAGGUGUAGCAGUGAAAUGCGUAGAGAUCUGGAGGAACACCGAUGGCGAAGGCAGCUCGCUGGGACGGUACUGACGCUGAGGCGCGAAAGCGUGGGGAGCAAACAGG
Molecule: ribosomal RNA, 253 nt
Filed under: uncultured bacterium
Lineage: Bacteria
Description: partial 16S ribosomal RNA
Rfam family: Bacterial small subunit ribosomal RNA
Source: RNAcentral